This 299-nucleotide unclassified non-coding RNA is filed under the name Hevea brasiliensis (rubber tree). The record is from RNAcentral. Lineage: Eukaryota; Viridiplantae; Streptophyta; Magnoliopsida; Malpighiales; Euphorbiaceae.
CCUGAGGUUCGCCCUAUCUCCGCUCUCCAUCAGUCUCUGCUCGUGUGAAUAGCAUAACACAGCGCUGAUAAUUGGAUAUCGAAGUUGAGGACUUGGCUUUAAAAUUGAAGUCGACUACCAAAAUUCUAGCUUAACCAAAAACCAUAACAACUCGUAUAGAAGUCGAAAAAGGUCCAAGAAAUAAGAGAAGACGAUGGCGGCGCAAGGAGGGAGCUUGAAGGCCACCUCCAUAAAUGGAGUCAAGAUGUAUACGGUUUCAUCGCAGCAGCGUUCUCUCGCCACCUGGCUUCCCCCCAAGA